GGGGCGCAGCAGGUGCGAACCUCCACNAUGUACGAAAGUGCGAUGGGGGAAUCCUAAGUGCUGGCGCAAUGCGUCAGCUUUUCUCGAGUCUAAAUCGCUUGAGGAAUAAGUGGUGGGUAAGACCGCUGCCAGCCGCCGCGGUAAUAGCGGCGCCACAAGUGGCAUCCAUUUAUAUUGGGUUUAAAGCAUCCGUAGCCGGCCUGAUAAGUCUACUGUGAAAUCCUAUAGAAAACUAUAGGGCGUGCGGUAGAAACUAUUACGGCUUGGGACCAGGAGAGGUCAGAGGUACUCCUAGGGUAGCGGUAAAAUGCUGUAAUCCUAGGGGGACCACCUGUGGCGAAGGCGUCUGACUGGAAUGGAUCCGACGGUGAGGGAUGAAAGCUAGGGGAGCGACCCGGAUUAGAUACCCGGUUAGUCCUAGCUGUAAACGAUGCUCACUUGGUAUUGGAAAUCUUUCGUGGAUUUCCAGUGCCGAAGGGAAACCGUUAAGUGAGCCACCUGGGGAGUACGGUCGCAAGGCUGAAACUUAAAGGAAUUGGCGGGGGAGCAC
RNAcentral lists this ribosomal RNA (550 nucleotides) under uncultured archaeon. Its description in RNAcentral is "bacterial SSU rRNA". It matches the Rfam family "Archaeal small subunit ribosomal RNA", at positions 327 to 879 of the family's 1478-position model. The record is from RNAcentral.